UACGAGGGGUGCAAGCGUUGCUCGGAAUUAUUGGGCGUAAAGGGUAGGUAGGUGGUCUCAUUUGUCUGAGGUGAAAGCCUUGAGCUUAACUCAAGAAGUGCCUUAGAAACGGUGAGACUGGAGUCCUGGAGAGGGUCGUGGAAUUCCCGGUGUAGCGGUGAAAUGCGUAGAGAUCGGGAGGAACACCAGCGGCGAAGGCGGCGACCUGGACAGGUACUGACACUCAACUACGAAAGCGUGGGUAGCAAGCAGG
This 253-nucleotide ribosomal RNA is filed under the name uncultured bacterium. Its description in RNAcentral is "partial 16S ribosomal RNA". It matches the Rfam family "Bacterial small subunit ribosomal RNA", at positions 524 to 776 of the family's 1533-position model. The record is from RNAcentral.